AACCGGCUGUUUUAGCUUGAGCCACAUGGAUGCGAUUUGAUUAUUCUCUGGAUCAUGAACUAAUUCUUUUGUGAGAUCGAGAUUGCACCAAGAUCUCCCUCUUUCUGUCGAGUCCUUGGGCUGAUCAUCACUUCUCUCCGAAAGCAAUAAGUUCUUGCUGUUCAGAGAAGAUAUAUCGGAAUCUGGCGCACCGGUGGCAGGUUUCGGUGCAAUCGGCCUGAAUCGGAGCAUUAUCUGGUCGAUUAUAGUCUUAUCCUGCGUACCACCAGCCCAUCGUAUCAUGCGCCACCUCUCUCCACCAUCCAUUGCUCUUCACCUUCACCUGUUGAGCUCAGGCGAUAAUCAAAGCAAAGCAGCACAGGGACGAAAGUGUAAAAGCAACACGUGUGUAGGGCAAGCGAGAAGCAGAUGAGAGAUGUAAUUGGCCGGAUAUCUUUGUAGGAGGUGGGUCCAUCUAAAAAGUAGCGUAUCAAGGCGUAAUUAAGCGAUGAGGAUGGUCCCACAGGAGCAACCAAUGAGAGAAGGGAAAGUGUGCAGCACUGCCGAAAGAGAGGACACGUAGCCACUGUCCUAGAUUGUCGCGUCACUGUUCACUGAAGUGGAAAUGUGCCAAAAAGGCUUUUGGUUAGCUUCGAGAAAAGGCACACGUAGUUCUAUUCUAUUAGCCCAUCACAUCAAAA
Molecule: long non-coding RNA, 680 nt
Organism: Hevea brasiliensis (rubber tree)
Lineage: Eukaryota; Viridiplantae; Streptophyta; Magnoliopsida; Malpighiales; Euphorbiaceae
Exons: 3
Source: RefSeq, a predicted model, not a curated record